Molecule: long non-coding RNA, 349 nt
Filed under: Homo sapiens (human)
Lineage: Eukaryota; Metazoa; Chordata; Mammalia; Primates; Hominidae
Description: lncAB198.1
Source: RNAcentral
AGGAAUUUGAGGGGAAGAUUUCAUAGCAGAAGGUGUUAAUGUGGCCUGUAUUGACUUAAGUGGUGACCCAACUGGACUGUGAAACUGUGGGAUGCCUAUGGACUCGAGCUGCUUGUUAAAGAGGAACUCCCCACUGUUGUUCAGAAAUCCUUCCUCAUGUCCUCUCUCCCCAAGCUUCCCAUCCUCUACUGGCUCAGUUUCUAGCAUUUCAGUAUCUUCUUUCCUGCUAAAGAACUUGUCCAAGUAACUAGUGUAAGUGUUUUCCUUCUCAACUUGUUCAUCCUUCCUUACCUCACAAAACUGAUUUAUGAAAAAACAGUCCUCCCCACCACUCACAAACUGGCUGUCC